This 484-nucleotide ribosomal RNA is filed under the name uncultured bacterium. RNAcentral describes it as "partial 16S ribosomal RNA". It matches the Rfam family "Bacterial small subunit ribosomal RNA", at positions 29 to 507 of the family's 1533-position model. The record is from RNAcentral.
AUUGAACGCUGGCGGCAUGCUUUACACAUGCAAGUCGAACGGCAGCGCGGGCUUCGGCCUGGCGGCGAGUGGCGAACGGGUGAGUAAUGCAUCGGAACGUGCCCAGUAGUGGGGGAUAGCCCGGCGAAAGCCGGAUUAAUACCGCAUACGACCUGAGGGUGAAAGCGGGGGACCGAAAGGCCUCGCGCUAUUGGAGCGGCCGAUGUCGGAUUAGCUAGUUGGUGGGGUAAAGGCUUACCAAGGCGACGAUCCGUAGCUGGUCUGAGAGGACGACCAGCCACACUGGGACUGAGACACGGCCCAGACUCCAACGGGAGGCAGCAGUGGGGAAUUUUGGACAAUGGGGGCAACCCUGAUCCAGCCAUGCCGCGUGCGGGAAGAAGGCCUUCGGGUUGUAAACCGCUUUUGUUCGGGAAGAAAUCCUCUGGGCUAAUACCCCGGGGGGAUGACGGUACCGGAAGAAUAAGCACCGGCUAACUACGUG